ACGGGAGGCAGCAGUAAGGAAUAUUGGUCAAUGGGGGCAACCCUGAACCAGCCAUGCCGCGUACAGGAAGACAGCCCUAUGGGUCGUAAACUGCUUUUAUUGGGGAAUAACCUUGCCUAUGUACAGUUGACUGAAUGUACCCAAGGAAUAAGGAUCGGCUAACUCCGUCCGAGCAGCCGCGGUAAUA
This 187-nucleotide ribosomal RNA is filed under the name uncultured Pedobacter sp. RNAcentral's name for it is "partial 16S ribosomal RNA". It matches the Rfam family "Bacterial small subunit ribosomal RNA", at positions 341 to 525 of the family's 1533-position model. Lineage: Bacteria; Pseudomonadati; Bacteroidota; Sphingobacteriia; Sphingobacteriales; Sphingobacteriaceae. The record is from RNAcentral.